GUGUAACUUAAAACUUAUGAGUUGUUUAUUUCUGGAAUUUUCCAUUUAAUAUUUUCAGACCUUGGUCACCUGGAGGUAACUGAAACCACAGACAGUAAAACCACAGAUAAGAGGAGACUACUGUAUCAGAAUAAAGAACCAAGACCUGAAUUACACUUCAAAAAUUGACUAAGAUAGAAUGUUAAUAAAUUGCUCUAACUAGAUCUUCUGGAAGAUCUAGUGCCCUUUGCCAUGGAGCUGAACAUGUACCUGGCCCAGGACUUGCAAAGCUGAAGGAGGAGACCUGGAGAGAGCUUCAGGAGCUGCAGUCACAGCUGCUGCCCUAAGUUAAGGAAUGAACGCCCUAUGAUGAUAGAGGCAGAGAUUGGAGUGAUGCAUCUACAAGCCAAGGAACACCAAAGUUUGCUGGAUAUCACCAGAAGCUAGGAGAGAGGAAUGGAACAGAUUCUCCCUCAGAGACUUCAAAAGGAACUAACCAUGAUGACACCUUGAUUUUGGAUUUCCAGCCUCUAGACUAUACAAGGCAGUAAGUCUCCUGGAGUUCAUUGCUCAAGCUUUAAUGUGCAUACCAGUGUUCUGGGUACCCUGUUAAAAAGCAGGAUCUGGUUCGCUAGAGGAGAGAUGAAGCCCAAGACUCUGCAUUUCCAUCACACUUUCAGAGGUUCCAAAGCUGCUGAUCCAAAGACCAUACUUUGAGGAGCAGGCCUCAGAGGACACCUUCC
This 722-nucleotide long non-coding RNA is filed under the name Equus caballus (horse). RNAcentral describes it as "lncRNA (ENSECAG00000058085.1)". The record is from RNAcentral. Lineage: Eukaryota; Metazoa; Chordata; Mammalia; Perissodactyla; Equidae.